RNAcentral lists this ribosomal RNA (1036 nucleotides) under Bacillus sp. (in: firmicutes). RNAcentral's name for it is "bacterial SSU rRNA". It matches the Rfam family "Bacterial small subunit ribosomal RNA", at positions 56 to 1069 of the family's 1533-position model. Lineage: Bacteria; Bacillati; Bacillota; Bacilli; Caryophanales; Bacillaceae. The record is from RNAcentral.
UGCAGUCGAGCGAAGAGAUGGGAGCUUGCUCCCUGAUCUUAGCGGCGGACGGGUGAGUAACACGUGGGCAACCUGCCCUGCAGACUGGGAUAACUCCGGGAAACCGGAGCUAAUACCGGGUAAUACAUCGCACCGCAUGGUGCAAUGUUGAAAGUUGGCUUUCUGAGCUAACACUGCAGGAUGGGCCCGCGGCGCAUUAGCUAGUUGGUAAGGUAAUGGCUUACCAAGGCGACAAUCCGUAGCCAACCUGAGAGGGUGAUCGGCCACACUGGGACUGAGACACGGCCCAAACUCCUACGGGAGGCAGCAUUAGGGAAUCUUCCGCAAUGGACGAAAGUCUGACGGAGCAACGCCCCGUGAGUGACGAAGGCCUUCGGGUCGUAAAGCUCUUUUGUUAGGGAAGAACAAGUACCGUUCGAAUAGGGCGGUACCUUGACGGUACCUAACCAAAAAGCCACGGCUAACUACGUGCCAGCAGCCGCGGUAAUACGUAGGUGGCAAGCGUUGUCCGGAAUUAUUGGGCGUAAAGCGCGCGCAGGCGGUCUUUUAAGUCUGAUGUGAAAGCCCACGGCUCAACCGUGAAGGGUCAUUGGAAACUGGAGGACUUGAGUGCAAAAAAGGAAAGUGGAAUUCCACGUGUAGCGGUGAAAUGCGUAAAUAUGUGGAGGAACACCAGUGGCGAAGGCGGCUCUCUGGUCUGUAACUGACGCUAAGGCGCGAAAGCGUGGGGAGCAAACAGGAUUAGAUACCCUGGUAGUCCACGCCGUAAACGAUGAGUGCUAGGUGUUUGGGGGGUUCCACCCUCAGUGCUGAAGUUAACACAUUAAGCACUCCGCCGGGGGAGUACAACCGCAAGGUUGAAACUCAAAGGAAUUGACGGGGGCCCGCACAAGCAGUGGAGCAGGUGGUUUAAUUCGAAGCAACGCGAAAAACCUUACCAGGUCUUGACAUCCUCUGACAAUCCUGGAAAACAGGACGUUCCCCUUCGGGGGACAGAGUGACAGGUGGUGCAUGGUUGUCGUCAGCUCGUGUCGUG